RNAcentral lists this ribosomal RNA (485 nucleotides) under uncultured bacterium. Its description in RNAcentral is "partial 16S ribosomal RNA". It matches the Rfam family "Bacterial small subunit ribosomal RNA", at positions 30 to 507 of the family's 1533-position model. The record is from RNAcentral.
AUUGAACGCUGGCGGCAGGCUUAACACAUGCAAGUCGAGCGGAGAGAGGUAGCUUGCUACUGAUCUUAGCGGCGGACGGGUGAGUAAUGCUUAGGAAUCUGCCUAUUAGUGGGGGACAACAUUUCGAAAGGAAUGCUAAUACCGCAUACGUCCUACGGGAGAAAGCAGGGGAUCUUCGGACCUUGCGCUAAUAGAUGAGCCUAAGUCGGAUUAGCUAGUUGGUGGGGUAAAGGCCUACCAAGGCGACGAUCUGUAGCGGGUCUGAGAGGAUGAUCCGCCACACUGGGACUGAGACACGGCCCAGACUCCUACGGGAGGCAGCAGUGGGGAAUAUUGGACAAUGGGCGCAAGCCUGAUCCAGCCAUGUCGCGUGUGUGAAGAAGGCCUUAUGGUUGUAAAGCACUUUAAGCGAGGAGGAGGCUACUUUAGUUAAUACCGAGAGAUAGUGGACGUUACUCGCAGAAUAAGCACCGGCUAACUCUGUG